CACAGAACAAGCAAGCACAAAAUUCGCAACCAUUGUACUGCAUUACUUAAAAAGUAAUACGAAGCCCAAAUUCCAAAAGAUACUCAACGCAUGAUGCUAAAUGCUAACACAAACCAACAGAAAGGAACAAAUCAAAAGCAAACCCAAAACUUCAAGUUGUAGAGUUAUGAUGUAAGCAACAGAGAAGAAAGGGUUAUAUGAUUUAGAAAACCUGUCACGGACUUGAAGCUGAUCGAUCAUGGAAGCCAUUCUCUGUUGAUCUUCCGCUGGAAGAGAAGCCAUAUCA
Molecule: long non-coding RNA, 286 nt
Filed under: Lathyrus oleraceus (garden pea)
Lineage: Eukaryota; Viridiplantae; Streptophyta; Magnoliopsida; Fabales; Fabaceae
Description: Pisum sativum (pea) long non-coding RNA (PSAT_LNC010764)
Source: RNAcentral